RNAcentral lists this ribosomal RNA (253 nucleotides) under uncultured bacterium. Its description in RNAcentral is "partial 16S ribosomal RNA". It matches the Rfam family "Bacterial small subunit ribosomal RNA", at positions 524 to 776 of the family's 1533-position model. The record is from RNAcentral.
UACAGAGGUCUCAAGCGUUGUUCGGAAUCACUGGGCGUAAAGGGUGCGCAGGCGGAUCGGUAAGUCAGAGGUGAAAUCUCACAGCUCAACUGUGAAACUGCCUUUGAUACUGCUGAUCUUGAGUUAGGGAGAGGUUGAUGGAAUUCCAGGUGUAGCGGUGAAAUGCGUAGAUAUCUGGAAGAACACCAGUGGCGAAGGCGGUCAACUGGCCCUAAACUGACGCUCAUGCACGAAAGCGUGGGGAUCAAACAGG